Molecule: ribosomal RNA, 441 nt
Filed under: uncultured bacterium
Lineage: Bacteria
Description: partial 16S ribosomal RNA
Rfam family: Bacterial small subunit ribosomal RNA
Source: RNAcentral
CCUACGGGAGGCAGCAGUGGGGAAUUUUGCGCAAUGGGCGAAAGCCUGACGCAGCCACGCCGCGUGAUUGAUUAAGCCCUUCGGGGUGUAAAGAUCUGUCAGUGGGGACGAAACUUGUCGGUACCCACAGAGGAAGCACCGGCUAACUCCGUGCAAGAAGCCGCGGUAAUACGGAGGGUGCAAGCGUUGUCCGGAAUCAUGGGGCGUAAAGAGUUCGUAGGUGGCAUAUUAAGUCUGGUGUGAAAUGCAGAGGCUCAACUUCUGUUCUGCACUGGAUACUGGUAAGCUUGAAGGCGGUAGAGGGAGAUGGAAUUCCUGGUGUAGCGGUGAAAUGCGUAGAGAUCAGGAGGAACAUCGGUGGCGUAGGCGCUUUACUGGACCGUAAUUGACACUGAGGUACGAAAGCCUGGGUAGCAAAUAGGAUUAGAUACCCGGGUAGUC